RNAcentral lists this ribosomal RNA (104 nucleotides) under uncultured bacterium. RNAcentral's name for it is "partial 16S ribosomal RNA". It matches the Rfam family "Bacterial small subunit ribosomal RNA", at positions 1379 to 1482 of the family's 1533-position model. The record is from RNAcentral.
CCUUGUACACACCGCCCGUCACACCAUGGGAGUUGGUCUUACCCGACGGCGCUGCGCCAACCGCAAGGAGGCAGGCGACCACGGUAGGGUCAGCGACCGGGGUG